UACGUAGGGGGCUAGCGUUGUCCGGAAUCAUUGGGCGUAAAGCGCGCGUAGGCGGCCCGGUAAGUCCGCUGUAAAAGUCAAAGGCUCAACCUUUGAAUGUCAGUGGAUACUGCCGGGCUAGAGUCCGGAAGAGGCGAGUGGAACUCCUGGUGUAGCGGUGGAAUGCGCAGAUAUCAGGAAGAACACCAACGGCGAAGGCAGCUCGCUAGGACGGUACUGACGCUGAGACGCGAAAGCGUGGGGAGCGAACAGG
This 253-nucleotide ribosomal RNA is filed under the name uncultured bacterium. Its description in RNAcentral is "partial 16S ribosomal RNA". It matches the Rfam family "Bacterial small subunit ribosomal RNA", at positions 524 to 776 of the family's 1533-position model. The record is from RNAcentral.